AAGUCGUAACAAGGUUUCCGUAGGUGAACCUGCGGAAGGAUCAUUAACACGUAUCCAAACGUUAAACCCCCCUGUGAACCUUCACCUGUACUCGUACGUCCGUUAGAAAAAGCAGCAAUCCCUGGUAAAUCAUCGCCGAACAGUUUUCGAUUCAGGGAUGUCUGCAAGGAGCGUGCAUGUUGUGCGAGCAAGUGGCCUGGCAUCCCCAAGCAGUUAGUGUCUGAAAGUGUCAUUAACUGUGUAAGGAUGACGCAGUCACGAUCGUUGGAGGCCCACACGGCCAAUCGCGGCCGCGAUAAUACGCAGUCGACCAAAAACCGAACAACUGUUAACAAUGGAUAUCUUGGUUCUC
RNAcentral lists this unclassified non-coding RNA (352 nucleotides) under fungal sp. RNAcentral describes it as "partial internal transcribed spacer region". The stretch from base 1 to 46 matches the Rfam family "Eukaryotic small subunit ribosomal RNA", at positions 1786 to 1831 of the family's 1831-position model. The record is from RNAcentral. Lineage: Eukaryota; Fungi.